UACAGUAAUCAGUUAUGAAUUUUAACUCAACUCAGAUACUGCGCGGUUUUUUCGUUUCGAAGCUUGAAGAAAAAAAUUUGUUAUCAAUAGUUUGGCUUGAAUAGACAAUAAAACGGGUCGAAUGUUUUCUUUACGGAUAAAAUUCAUAUUAAUCUUAACUAUUCUAUGCUUUGUCAUGACGAGAAGUUUGGUAGUACACUCGUUUCCCAAUCUCUGUGAGGAACAAGGUGACAUGUGCCAAAUAAAAUGUGAAAUUAUUGGUGGAAGAGGCGGUUUCUGUAACAAGGCC
Molecule: long non-coding RNA, 289 nt
Organism: Teleopsis dalmanni
Lineage: Eukaryota; Metazoa; Arthropoda; Insecta; Diptera; Diopsidae
Exons: 2
Source: RefSeq, a predicted model, not a curated record